Molecule: ribosomal RNA, 522 nt
Filed under: Rothia nasimurium
Lineage: Bacteria; Bacillati; Actinomycetota; Actinomycetes; Micrococcales; Micrococcaceae
Description: bacterial SSU rRNA
Rfam family: Bacterial small subunit ribosomal RNA
Source: RNAcentral
UGACGAUCGCUGGCGGCGUGCUUACACAUGCAAGUCGAACGAUGAAGACCGGUGCUUGCACUGGUUGGAUUAGUGGCGAACGGGUGAGUAAUACGUGAGUAACCUGCCUUUAACUCUGGGAUAAGCCUUGGAAACGAGGUCUAAUACCGGAUACGACCAGUUCCCGCAUGGGAUGCUGGUGGAAAGGGUUUGUACUGGUUUUAGAUGGGCUCACGGCCUAUCAGCUUGUUGGUGAGGUAACGGCUCACCAAGGCGACGACGGGUAGCCGGCCUGAGAGGGUGACCGGCCACACUGGGACUGAGACACGGCCCAGACUCCUACGGGAGGCAGCAGUGGGGAAUAUUGCACAAUGGGCGCAAGCCUGAUGCAGCGACGCCGCGUGAGGGAUGAAUGCCUUCGGGUUGUAAACCUCUUUCAGCAGGGAAGAAGCGAAAGUGACGGUACCUGCAGAAGAAGCGCCGGCUAACUACGUGCCAGCCGCCGCGGUAAUACGUCGUGACUGGAAAACCCCUGGGGGAAGU